GGGAUUGCCCUAGUAACGGCGAGUGAAGCGGCAACAGCUCAAAUUUGAAAUCUGGCUCUUUCAGAGUCCGAGUUGUAAUUUGCAGAGGGCGCUUUGGCGUUGGGAGCGGUCCAAGUUCUUUGGAACAGGACGUCACAGAGGGUGAGAAUCCCGUACGUGGUCGCUAUCCUUCGCCGUGUAAAGCCCCUUCGACGAGUCGAGUUGUUUGGGAAUGCAGCUCUAAAUGGGAGGUAAAUUUCUUCUAAAGCUAAAUACUGGCCAGAGACCGAUAGCGCACAAGUAGAGUGAUCGAAAGAUGAAAAGCACUUUGGAAAGAGAGUCAAAUAGCACGUGAAAUUGUUGAAAGGGAAGCGCUUGCAGCCAGACUUGCCUGUAGUUGCUUAUCUGGACUUUUGUCCAGUGCACUCUUCUGCGGGCAGGCCAGCAUCAGUUUGGGCGGUUGGAUAAAGGUCUCUGUCAUGUACCUCCUUUCGGGGAGGCCUUAUAGGGGAGACGACAUGCAACCAGCCUGGACUGAGGUCCGCGCAUCUGCUAGGAUGCUGGCGUAAUGGCUGUAAGCGGCCCGUCUUGAAACACGGACCAAGGAGUCUAACAUCUAUGCGAGUGUUUGGGUGUCAAGCCCAGACGCGUAAUGAAAGUGAACGGAGGUGGGAACCUUUUAGGUGCACCAUCGACCGAUCCUGAUGUCUUCGGAAGGAUUUGAGUAAGAGCAUAGCUGUUGGGACCCGAAAGAUGGUGAACUAUGCUUGAAUAGGGUGAAGCCAGAGGAAACUCUGGUGGAGGCUCGCAGCGGUUCUGACGUGCAAAUCGAUCGUCAAAUUUGGGCAUAGGGGCGAAAGACUAAUCGA
RNAcentral lists this ribosomal RNA (848 nucleotides) under Parastagonospora poagena. Its description in RNAcentral is "eukaryotic LSU rRNA". It matches the Rfam family "Eukaryotic large subunit ribosomal RNA", at positions 71 to 938 of the family's 3401-position model. Lineage: Eukaryota; Fungi; Ascomycota; Dothideomycetes; Pleosporales; Phaeosphaeriaceae. The record is from RNAcentral.